RNAcentral lists this ribosomal RNA (425 nucleotides) under uncultured bacterium. Its description in RNAcentral is "partial 16S ribosomal RNA". It matches the Rfam family "Bacterial small subunit ribosomal RNA", at positions 354 to 796 of the family's 1533-position model. The record is from RNAcentral.
GUGGGGAAUCUUGCGCAAUGGGCGAAAGCCUGACGCAGCCAUGCCGCGUGAAUGAUGAAGGUCUUAGGAUUGUAAAAUUCUUUCACCGGGGACGAUAAUGACGGUACCCGGAGAAGAAGCUCCGGCUAACUUCGUGCCAGCAGCCGCGGUAAUACGAAGGGGGCUAGCGUUGCUAGGAAUUACUGGGCGUAAAGGGCGCGUAGGCGGACAGCUUAGUCAGAGGUGAAUGCCCAGGGCUCCGCCUUGGAAUUGCCUUUGGUAGUGGCUGUCAUGAGUUUGGGAGAGGUGAGUGGAACUCCGAGUGUAGAGGUGAAAUUCGUGGAUAUUCGGAAGAUCACCAGUGGCGAAGGCGACUCACUGGCCCAAUACUGACGCUGAGGCGCGAAAGCGUGGGGAGCAAACAGGAUUAGAAACCCCGGUAGUCC